CUUGGUCAUUUAGAGGAAGUAAAAGUCGUAACAAGGUCUCCGUUGGUGAACCAGCGGAGGGAUCAUUACCGAGUUUACAACUCCCAAACCCCUGUGAACAUACCUAUCGUUGCUUCGGCGGAUCCGCCCCGGCGCCCUCGGGCCCGGAUCAGGCGCCCGCCGGAGACCCCAAACUCUUGUAUUUCUUUAGUAUCUCCUGAGUAAACAAGCAAAUAAAUUAAAACUUUCAACAACGGAUCUCUUGGUUCUGGCAUCGAUGAAGAACGCAGCGAAAUGCGAUAAGUAAUGUGAAUUGCAGAAUUCCGUGAAUCAUCGAAUCUUUGAACGCACAUUGCGCCCGCCAGUACUCUGGCGGGCAUGCCUGUUCGAGCGUCAUUUCAACCCUCAAGCCCCCGGGCUUGGUGUUGGGGCUCGGCCCGUCCCUCGUGGCGCGCCGUCCCCGAAAUCCAGUGGCGGUCACGCUGUACUCCUCUGCGUAGUAAUCCAACCUCGCAACGGGACAAAGCCUGGCCACGCCGUUAAACCCCCCACUUCUGAAGGUUGACCUCGGAUCAGGUAGGAAUACCCGCUGAACUUAAGCAUAUCAAUAAGCGGAGGA
RNAcentral lists this ribosomal RNA (598 nucleotides) under uncultured Nectria. Its description in RNAcentral is "eukaryotic LSU rRNA". The stretch from base 222 to 375 matches the Rfam family "5.8S ribosomal RNA". The record is from RNAcentral. Lineage: Eukaryota; Fungi; Ascomycota; Sordariomycetes; Hypocreales; Nectriaceae.